RNAcentral lists this ribosomal RNA (478 nucleotides) under uncultured bacterium. RNAcentral's name for it is "bacterial SSU rRNA". It matches the Rfam family "Bacterial small subunit ribosomal RNA", at positions 365 to 833 of the family's 1533-position model. The record is from RNAcentral.
UUCGCAAUGCCCGAAAGGGUGACGAAGCGACGCCGCGUGCGGGAAGAAGGCCUUCGGGUUGUAAACCGCUGUCGGGAGUUAAGAAGUGCAAGGGUGCUAAUAGCAUCUUUGCUUGACUAAGGCUCCGGAGGAAACCACGGCUAACUCUGUGCCAGCAGCCGCGGUAAUACAGAGGCGGCAAGCGUUGUUCGGAAUUAUUGGGCGUAAAGAGCACGUAGGCGGCCGUGCAAGUCGGUUGUGAAAGCCUUCCGCUCAACGGAAGAACGGCAUCCGAUACUGCAUGGCUCGAGUGCGGGAGGGGAGAGUGGAACUUCUGGUGGAGCGGUGAAAUGCGUAGAUAUCAGAAGGAACACCGGCGGCGAAAGCGACUCUCUGGCCCGUAACUGACGCUGAGUGUGCGAAAGCUAGGGGAGCAAACGGGAUUAGAUACCCCGGUAGUCCUAGCCGUAAACGAUGGGCACUAAGUAGAGGGGUUUUA